AACGAACGUUGGCGGCAGGCUUAACACAUGCAAGUCGAACGAGAUCUUCGGAUCUAGUGGCAGACGGGUGAGGAACACGUGGGAACAUCCCUUUCAGUUCGGAAUAACGUUGGGAAACUAACGCUAAUACCGGAUACGUCCUUCGGGAGAAAGAUUUAUCGCUGAAAGAUUGGCCCGCGUCUGAUUAGCUAGUUGGUGAGGUAAUGGCUCACCAAGGCUACGAUCAGUAGCUGAUCUGAGAGGAUGAUCAGCCACAUUGGGACUGAGACACGGCCCAAACUCCUACGGGAGGCAGCAGUGGGGAAUAUUGGACAAUGGGCGUAAGCCUGAUCCAGCCAUGCCGCGUGAGUGAUGACGGCCUUCGGGUUGUAAAGCUCUUUUGUCCGGGAAGAUAAUGACUGUACCGGAAGAAUAAGCCCCGGCAAACUUCGUGCCAGCCGCCGCGGUAA
RNAcentral lists this ribosomal RNA (449 nucleotides) under uncultured bacterium. RNAcentral describes it as "partial 16S ribosomal RNA". It matches the Rfam family "Bacterial small subunit ribosomal RNA", at positions 29 to 523 of the family's 1533-position model. The record is from RNAcentral.